UCAGCAGGUCACCUUAUCGUCGUGUGCUGAUUUAGUUUCAGUACAAGGAGGAAAGUCCGGACACCAUAGUGCAGCAUAGUGGGUAACACCCAUCCGUCGAGAGAUGCGGACAAGUGCAACAGAAAGCAAGUACAGUUCGGCUGUAGUGAAAUCAGGUAAACUCUAUGCGGUGAAACGUCAUGUAAACCGGUGUUUGAGGGCUGCACGCCCGAGCCGAAGGGUAGGCGGUUAGAGCUUUUGGGUAACCGAAAGUCUAGAUAAAUGAUAAGGAACUCAGCAAUGAGGAACAGAAUCCGGCUUAUGACCUGCUUUUUUU
Molecule: RNase P RNA, 316 nt
Filed under: Maribacter algarum (ex Zhang et al. 2020)
Lineage: Bacteria; Pseudomonadati; Bacteroidota; Flavobacteriia; Flavobacteriales; Flavobacteriaceae
Description: Maribacter algarum Bacterial RNase P class A
Rfam family: Bacterial RNase P class A
About the family: Ribonuclease P (RNase P) is a ubiquitous endoribonuclease, found in archaea, bacteria and eukarya as well as chloroplasts and mitochondria. Its best characterised activity is the generation of mature 5'-ends of tRNAs by cleaving the 5'-leader elements of precursor-tRNAs.
Source: Rfam by way of RNAcentral